RNAcentral lists this small RNA (133 nucleotides) under Klebsiella pneumoniae. RNAcentral's name for it is "RtT sRNA". It matches the Rfam family "RtT RNA". Rfam says of the family: This family represents a bacterial cis-regulatory element known as RtT RNA. The exact function of RtT is unknown although it is thought that it may be involved in changing the cellular response in relation to amino acid starvation. RNAcentral also lists the same sequence under 1 other name. The record is from RNAcentral. Lineage: Bacteria; Pseudomonadati; Pseudomonadota; Gammaproteobacteria; Enterobacterales; Enterobacteriaceae.
UGUUUGCACUUAGCGGGAAGGGUAAGAACCUUCGACUAAGGUUCGACUCGAGCGCCAGCGAGAGAACGUUGCCGCAGGCAACGGCCCGAAGGGCGAGGAGCGAUAGCGACGAGUUAUCCUUCCCACACCACCA